GAAUCUCUAUGUUCUUAUUUUGAGCCCACAGAACCGGCUGCUGCCCAAACCUCUCUCGCUGAAGUGGGUCUGUGAAUUCUUCACCUUUCAUUGAUCCGCUGCUCAAACUAAUCCGGUACCGGCUCGUUUCUCUGUCUUCUCAUGCUGCACAAUGACUCGCAGACGUGUCAGACGACUCGUGAGUAGAAAUGUUUGUGGUGAAAAAGGCUUCCAGACUCGGGUCAGAAGCAAAGCUGGUCUGGAGGAAGAGUCCAGACCAAUGAAAAGACGCUAAGCUUCAGUGUUUGGCAAAUGAAGAACAUUCAUACCAUCCUUCAAAAAAGCUUGGACGGCAAUAUCAAAUGUUUUUAAUCCAGUCAUGAAUGGAAAAUUUUGACUGGCUUUUUAGAUUUUUUUUAUUCCUGAAGCUGUGAGUAGUUGCCAUGGCAACAAUAUGCCAGAAUUGGAGUUGCAGAUUCAAGUUCCUAGCAGGAUUUGAACGACUUUCUGUAAUCGAGGAUGAAAGACAAACUCCUCAGUCGAGAAGAUGUAUGAAACUCCGGUCUCCUCGACUGCUGGCUGGGAUGUUUGAUCAGGACCGGAGCAGAAACUGUCAGCAGAAGCAUAAAGCCUGACUGAAUAAUCCCCAGAAAAGACAUUAUCGUAGCCGCAGCCAUAAAGACAACAAGGGCUAAUUAAAACUGCUGUUACAAGCAAACGAAUGGAGAGAGGAGCAGCACUCUUCUUCCCGGAUCUGGUCUGCAUCCUCCGUGUUUCGCUCUCGGGGAUAAAGCAUAAUGGCAUUUUCAGAGGGGUAGCAGGCAGAUUAAUCACACUGGGGGCAGCUUUAUUCAAUAAAACACGACACACACACACACAGAGCAGUCGUAUAUCGUGCUCAGAUCAGCUCGUUAAAGUGCGAGGAUCACCGAAGCCGUGAUGCAGCAAAAGCCAUGAGCUCCUCAGCUGUGAGAGGAGCAGUAAUUAUCAUUUUUAUGAGCACGUCGAGUCAAAGCAGGUUAUGAGGACCAUGGAUCAAUAGCUGCCAUGAAACAGACGUCUGCAUUUCUGCAGAAAAUAAAAAGAUUCCAGCUUACCGUCUUUCCCAAUCAGGAAGUCCAGGUAGCGACGGGGGUUUGAUCUUGCGCAGGCCGCAGCCCAUGGCUCCUCGGUGUGACGGUCAGCGCUCUGCAGGAACACGGAGAGAAGACAGAGCAAACAUGAAGACUCUUCUGCUUCAGGAACACGG
Molecule: long non-coding RNA, 1228 nt
Organism: Oryzias melastigma (Indian medaka)
Lineage: Eukaryota; Metazoa; Chordata; Actinopteri; Beloniformes; Adrianichthyidae
Exons: 3
Source: RefSeq, a predicted model, not a curated record